UGAUCUGAGGCAGCUAGGGUUCAGGACCUUCCAUGCAUACAGCAAGGAGAGUAGAGGGAUUGAUGGGGAAGACGGGAGUUUGGGGCAAUGAGGGACAAGGCGAAGGUCAGGAGGGCCCUGCGUGCAGUGGAGGCAUUUUCUGUGGCUUAGAACCAACGGAAGAGAUGGAGGAAAGACCUAGGACCAUGAAAAGGAGAGGAUUCCAGGUGACCCAAUUCCUUCAGGAGAGCAAUCACGAUGCCCCGGGAGAACAACCUCUGCACCUGGACGGAUGGUCUUUGCAGCCAGUGACAACCCACCUUACCGACCAAGGUCUUCCAGGUUGACCCCGGGAGCUAGAAUGUUCCCUUGUCCCGCCUUGUCGCUCUGUCACUGCACCACUCAGCCCCGUCCAGGGCCACCAGUAACAGAAAUCGAAGACCUCAGGGAGUCCCACGGCGAGUUGAAGCAGGCCUAGAGGUUCCAGAAGUCCUCACCCUGCUUUACUCUGACAGCUGCGGGCUGCAGUGGCAAGGUCUCCUGCGGGCUCAUUUUGAGCUCAUCUUUGUAAAAAAAAAAAAAAAAAAA
Molecule: long non-coding RNA, 567 nt
Organism: Canis lupus familiaris (dog)
Lineage: Eukaryota; Metazoa; Chordata; Mammalia; Carnivora; Canidae
Exons: 2
Source: RefSeq, a predicted model, not a curated record